RNAcentral lists this unclassified non-coding RNA (312 nucleotides) under plant metagenome. RNAcentral describes it as "partial contains small subunit ribosomal RNA, internal transcribed spacer 1, and 5.8S ribosomal RNA". The record is from RNAcentral.
UUUCCGUAGGUGAACCUGCGGAAGGAUCAUUAGUGAAUAAACUUGUGUGGGUUGUUGCUGGCCUCCUCGGAGGUAUGUGCACACCUGCCGUCGUUUCAUUCAAUCCACUCCCACCUGUGCACUCUCUGUAGGCCAAACCAUCAAACUUUCAGGUCCUUCUGAAGGGCCUGGCGUGAGGAACUGCUCCGGCUUUCCUUGGAUGGGUAUGGUCUAUGUUUUUAUCAACACUGUAUGUAACCGAAUGUCUGUCUUGGGCUCUAUUAUGACCCAUAAAACCUUAUACAACUUUCAACAACGGAUCUCUUGGCUCUC